This 305-nucleotide ribosomal RNA is filed under the name uncultured bacterium. RNAcentral's name for it is "bacterial SSU rRNA". It matches the Rfam family "Bacterial small subunit ribosomal RNA", at positions 334 to 636 of the family's 1533-position model. The record is from RNAcentral.
UUGGCCUACGGGAGGCAGCAGUGAGGAAUAUUGGUCAAUGGCCGGAAGGCUGAACCAGCCAAGUCGCGUGAGGGACGACUGCCCUAUGGGUUGUAAACCUCUUUUAUAAGGGAAGAAUAAAUGCUACGUGUAGCAUGAUGCCUGUACCUUAUGAAUAAGCAUCGGCUAAUUCCGCGCCAGCAGCCGCGGUAAUACGGAAGGUCCGGGCGUUAUCCGGAUUUAUUGGGUUUAAAGGGAGCGUAGGCCGGCUUUUAAGUCAGCUGUGAAAGUUUGCGGCUCAACCGUAAAAUUGCAAUUGAUACUGG